This 398-nucleotide ribosomal RNA is filed under the name uncultured bacterium. RNAcentral describes it as "partial 16S ribosomal RNA". It matches the Rfam family "Bacterial small subunit ribosomal RNA", at positions 523 to 918 of the family's 1533-position model. The record is from RNAcentral.
AUACGUAGGGUGCGAGCGUUGUCCGGAAUUACUGGGCGUAAAGAGCUCGUAGGUGGUUUGUCGCGUCGUCUGUGAAAUUCCGGGGCUUAACUCCGGGCGUGCAGGCGAUACGGGCAUAACUUGAGUACUGUAGGGGAGACUGGAAUUCCUGGUGUAGCGGUGAAAUGCGCAGAUAUCAGGAGGAACACCGGUGGCGAAGGGGGAUCUCUGGGCGGUAACUGACGCUGAGAAGCGAAAGCAUGGGUAGCGAACAUGAUGAGAUACCCUGGUAGUCCAUGCUGUAAACGGUGGUCGCUAGUUGUAGGUGUCUUCCACGACUUCUGUGCCGUAGCUAACGCAUUAAUCGCCCCGCCUGGGGAGUACGGCCGCAAGGCUAAAACUCAAAUGAAUUGACGGGG